Molecule: ribosomal RNA, 518 nt
Filed under: uncultured Glomus
Lineage: Eukaryota; Fungi; Glomeromycota; Glomeromycetes; Glomerales; Glomeraceae
Description: SSU rRNA
Rfam family: Eukaryotic small subunit ribosomal RNA
Source: RNAcentral
AGCAGCCGCGGUAAUUCCAGCUCCAAUAGCGUAUAUUAAAGUUGUUGCAGUUAAAAAGCUCGUAGUUGAAUUUCGGGAUCAAUACGUCGGUCGUGCUUCGGUACGUACUGGCGUAAUUGAUUUCUCCCUUCUGACGAACCAUGAUGUCAUUAACUUGGUGUCAUGGGAAAUCAGGACUGUUACUUUGAAAAAAUUAGAGUGUUUAAAGCAGGCUCACGCUUGAAUACAUUAGCAUGGAAUAAUGAAAUAGGACGUUCGAUCCUACUUUGUUGGUUUUUAGGAUCAACGUAAUGAUUAAUAGGGAUAGUUGGGGGCAUUAGUAUUCAAUUGUCAGAGGUGAAAUUCUUGGAUUUAUUGAAGACUAACUACUGCGAAAGCAUUUGCCAAGGAUGUUUUCAUUAAUCAAGAACGAAAGUUAGGGGAUCGAAGACGAUCAGAUACCGUCGUAGUCUUAACCAUAAACUAUGCCGAUAGGGAUCGGAUGAUGUUAAUUUUUAAUGACUCACUUCGGCGUACCG